Molecule: small RNA, 767 nt
Filed under: Drosophila pseudoobscura pseudoobscura
Lineage: Eukaryota; Metazoa; Arthropoda; Insecta; Diptera; Drosophilidae
Description: GA30543
Source: RNAcentral
UAGCGAUAAAUUCCCGGUCACACUGCUCUCACGACUAAAUCGUGUUUUUUUUUGUUUUAAAAUACGAAUUUGGUGUUAAUUUUGCACUGCAUUUGACUCUGCUGCUGUUCGUUAAUUCGUUAAUUUGGGCUUGUAAUUCGUUUAGUUUUCCCCAGAGCAGCAUAAUAUUUGUGCCAGCAGUGAGCCGGUCUUGUGAUUGUAUCUCUGUGUUUGUUUGAACGCGCAAAAAGUCUUAAGCAGCAGAAAAGGCGGCAAAAGAGAAGCAAAGAACUAAACCAAACCAGUACCGCUGUUGGCAAGGCGAAGCUGCAGCAAAAAAAAAAAAACUGCAACGGCAAACAUAAUUAUUUUCGCAACGCGCUGAGCGUGUGUCGGUGUGCAGCUCAAAAACAUCGACACUCGGACGCACACCUUGGCGUUUUCGCGCCCAGUUUUGUCUUUUGGCACCGAAGACCAGCCGACGGGAAUAAACUGCAAUACAGCUUCGCCAAAGAGAGUGUCACUUUGAUUUUGGCCAUGACAGCCACGCCUCCCUCCGGCCACAAUCCAAAUUAUGCAAAUUCAUGCAUUGCACACGCACACACAGACAACAUAACAGACACACAGGCAGCUGCCGCUGCCGCUGCCGCUGCGGCGUCGACGGAGACGUCGAAGCCAGCGAAGGCGGAAGCGAACGCCGACAGCAGAUUUGGCGUUCUGUUUUGUUGUGUCGUCGUGUACAAUUUGAUACAUUCGGUUAAUAAAUAAUUACAAAUAGUUCAAAUGUA